This 274-nucleotide long non-coding RNA is filed under the name Lathyrus oleraceus (garden pea). RNAcentral describes it as "Pisum sativum (pea) long non-coding RNA (PSAT_LNC017451)". The record is from RNAcentral. Lineage: Eukaryota; Viridiplantae; Streptophyta; Magnoliopsida; Fabales; Fabaceae.
UCCAAGUUAUGAUCUGCAUAGUGAUAAGGUAUCGAAUAACUAUUUAUGCUGAAAAUAAAGUACGAAAAUAAAAUAAAGCCAAAAAUAAACUUAAAUAUUAAAACACACUAAAAUAGUAAAAAUAAUAGAAUAAAUUAUAGAGUUGCCUAAGUACAAUAGUAGAAGAAGGUGCAUCAAAAUGCACUGAUCAAAUUCCCCCAUACUUGAACUUUUCCACUCUGAGCAAAAUUAUAAAUUCAAAACUUAAAACAGAAAGAAAAAAACCUGAACAAAC